This 253-nucleotide ribosomal RNA is filed under the name uncultured bacterium. RNAcentral describes it as "partial 16S ribosomal RNA". It matches the Rfam family "Bacterial small subunit ribosomal RNA", at positions 524 to 776 of the family's 1533-position model. The record is from RNAcentral.
GACGGAGGGUGCAAACGUUGUUCGGAAUCACUGGGCAUAAAGCGCACGUAGGCGGUCCGCCAAGUCAGGUGUGAAAGCCCUCGGCUCAACCGAGGAAUUGCACUUGAAACUAGCGGGCUAGAGAACGGUAGGGGUGAGCGGAACUCCAGGUGGAGCGGUGAAAUGCGUAGAUAUCUGGAGGAACACCGGUGGCGAAAGCGGCUCACUGGACCGUCACUGACGCUGAGGUGCGAAAGCCAGGGGAGCAAACGGG